GAUGAACGCUAGCUACAGGCUUAACACAUGCAAGUCGAGGGGCAGCGCAGUGUAGCAAUACAUGGGCGGCGACCGGCGCACGGGUGCGUAACGCGUAUCCAACCUUCCCGUUACUCAGGGAUAGCCUUCCGAAAGGGAGAUUAAUACCUGAUGGUGUUGAAAUUCCGCAUGUUAUUUCAACUAAAGAUUUAUCGGUAACGGAUGGGGAUGCGUGACAUUAGAUAGUAGGCGGGGUAACGGCCCACCUAGUCUACGAUGUCUAGGGGUUCUGAGAGGAAGGUCCCCCACACUGGAACUGAGACACGGUCCAGACUCCUACGGGAGGCAGCAGUGAGGAAUAUUGGUCAAUGGCCGGAAGGCUGAACCAGCCAAGUAGCGUGAAGGAUGAAGGUCUUCGGAUUGUAAACCUCUUUCAGCAGGGAAGACAAAAGGCGGUACCUGCAGAAGAAGCCACGGCUAACUACGUG
Molecule: ribosomal RNA, 467 nt
Filed under: uncultured bacterium
Lineage: Bacteria
Description: bacterial SSU rRNA
Rfam family: Bacterial small subunit ribosomal RNA
Source: RNAcentral